This 1161-nucleotide long non-coding RNA is filed under the name Macaca fascicularis (crab-eating macaque). RNAcentral describes it as "lncRNA (ENSMFAG00000057853.1)". The record is from RNAcentral. Lineage: Eukaryota; Metazoa; Chordata; Mammalia; Primates; Cercopithecidae.
CAUGGGCACCAUUGGAGGCCUCCAGGAGUUCUGGAGAAGAUGCUACAGAGAAGCGCUUGGCUGCAGUAGCUCUACCUUAAGCCAGGGAUUACUGAGAGUUACCCAUUCUGCUAUUUAUAAGGACUGAAUUCAUAGCUAGGGAGUUUAUGUAUGAAUAAUGGGAAAUAACUUUUUAUGGGAUAUUUCAUUUUGUUCUGUAGUUGGUAAAAAGAGCACUUUAUUAAAAUAGAAUUUGGUAGAUGAGAUCAAAGUUACCUUGAAAAAUUACUUUUACAAAUUUAUUUCUGUCUGAAUUUGCUGCUGCUUUUCUUAAUUCUGACUCUCCUGUUCUUUCUUUUCAUUCUUCUCCUUCCUUUUCCUUCUGCCUCUUUUUUUAUGAUGAUUUUUUGUGCUAUUGCAUUUAGGAAAUAAGGUAUUUUCUUUCUGAAAUGCAUGUACACAUGAUGUCAUUUACUGAUUUAGCCUUUGAAUCUAUUGGAAGAUUCUAAACAAAAAGACAUGUGUUGCUAUCUCUUUGCCACUUUGCCUGCCAGACAUCAAUAGUCAAUUGUAGCGUCAUUCUCAAUCUUGAGCUCCAGGGCACCCUGGUAAUUGAUGGGUAUUAGCAUAGGAGAGGAAACUGCUAUGAUCUAAUGGAAAUGAUUAGAUUAGGUAGACCAAUGUAGGCAGAUACUUGAUAUUCUUUUCCUUUCAUUUGUCCUUUGUUAGGAGAAGGAGGCUGAAUGAUUACUUCAGAAGAAGAGAGAUUCUUGGACAACUUCUUGAGUUCCAUGGGUUGUGAGUCUGUCUUGGGUACAGACUGUGCUGUUUCCCAUCCAUCUUGGAGAACUCCAAAAGAGACUAGAACCACAAGCUGGAUUUUCCACUCACCUCUCUCCAGGCCCCAGUGGCAGUUUAAUUCUCAUUAUGGACAGACGGGAUGCUUACUUUUUCUCUCCUCCUGUGGACUUUAUACAUAUUAAUGCCACUGGCUUUCCCCAUGGUCCAGCCUCCAUUAUUGACAUUGCCUGUCCUUAGAUGCUUUGAUGUUUGGCUCUCUUUGUGAUGGUGGCCAAUGGCCCAGGCCCGGGGCUGGCCUCCAUAGGGUCUCUUGGGAGGGUGAUAGAGAGGAGACAGUUCCCUAUGACAACAUCUUAUCUCAGUCCUCCCCAGAACCUUGGC